Molecule: ribosomal RNA, 390 nt
Filed under: uncultured Synurales
Lineage: Eukaryota; Synurophyceae; Synurales
Description: partial small subunit ribosomal RNA
Rfam family: Eukaryotic small subunit ribosomal RNA
Source: RNAcentral
GCUUGUCUCAAAGAUUAAGCCAUGCAUGUCUAAGUAUAAAUGUUAUACAGUGAAACUGCGAAUGGCUCAUUAAAACAGUUAUAGUUUAUUUGAUAAUCGAAUUUACAUGGAUAACCGUGGUAAUUCUAGAGCUAAUACAUGCUGGUUAGCCUGACUUUUAGGAAGGGCUGUAUUUAUUAGAUGGAAACCAAUUCGGGGUAACCCGGUUUAUGGUGAUUCAUAAUAACUUUCGGAUCGACGCAAGUCGAUGCAUCAUUCAAGUUUCUGCCCUAUCAGUUGUGGAUGGUAGGGUAUUGGCCUACCAUGACUUUAACGGGUAACGGAGAAUUAGGGUUCGAUUCCGGAGAGGGAGCCUGAGAAAUGGCUACCACAUCCAAGGAAGGCAGCAGG